RNAcentral lists this ribosomal RNA (774 nucleotides) under uncultured Neocallimastigales. Its description in RNAcentral is "partial large subunit ribosomal RNA". It matches the Rfam family "Eukaryotic large subunit ribosomal RNA", at positions 26 to 637 of the family's 3401-position model. Lineage: Eukaryota; Fungi; Neocallimastigomycota; Neocallimastigomycetes; Neocallimastigales. The record is from RNAcentral.
CGCAUCUGUGCAUGCAGCAUAUCAAUAAGCGGAGGAAAAGAAACUAACAAGGAUUCCCCUAGUAACGGCGAGUGAAGCGGGAAGAGCUCAAAUUUGAAAUCUUAAAGGGUUUCCCUUUACGAAUUGUAGUUUAAAGAAGUGUUUUCUGUUGAGGUUUUGGUAAAAGUUCUUUGGAAUAGGACAUCAUAGAGGGUGAGAAUCCCGUAUUUGACCUUUACUUUCAACUUUGUGAUACACUUUCAAAGAGUCGGAUUGUUUGGGAAUGCAGUCCAAAAUGGGUGGUAAAUUUCAUCUAAAGCUAAAUAUUGGCGAGAGACCGAUAGCGAACAAGUACCGUGAGGGAAAGAUGAAAAGAACUUUGAAAAGAGAGUUAAACAGUACGUGAAAUUGUCAAAAGGGAAGCGUUUGACACCAGUGUUGUUUUUCUGAAAAUCAAUUAAAGAACUGUUUAUGCUAAGUUGUUUAGACUUUAUCAGCUAACUGUUUAGUUUUGAGCUUUUCUUUAAUGCACCUUUCAGUUAACAAGUCAACAUCAAUCUCUUUUGCUGUAAAAAAGCUUGAGGAAGGUGGCUUGAGAUUCGUCUUAAGUGUUUAUAGCCUCUUGCCUAUGCAGUCGGAGAGAUUGAGGUCUGCAGCGUAGAUCCUUCGGGGCUAAAUGCAUUUGUGCUAAGUUAUAACAUUUCAUAGACAACUUGUUGACUAUGAUUUGUCUUGUAGCUUACUCGCUUAUGUUAUUUUACCUACGCUUAGGAUGUUGACAGCAGUAUAGACUGU